AAACCAACAGGGAUUACCUCAGUAACGGCGAGUGAAGCGGUAACAGCUCAAAUUUGAAAUCUGGGUCUUUCAGGCUCCGAGUUGUAAUUUGUAGAAGAUGCUUCGGGUGCGGCUCCGGUCUAAGUUCCUUGGAACAGGACGUCAUAGAGGGUGAGAAUCCCAUAUGUGAUCGGUUGCUUGCGCCCAUGUGAAGCUCUUUCGACGAGUCGAGUUGUUUGGGAAUGCAGCUCAAAAUGGGUGGUAAAUUUCAUCUAAAGCUAAAUAUUGGCCAGAGACCGAUAGCGCACAAGUAGAGUGAUCGAAAGAUGAAAAGCACUUUGGAAAGAGAGUUAAACAGUACGUGAAAUUGUUGAAAGGGAAGCGCUUGCAACCAGACUUGCGCGUUGCCGAUCAUCCGGGGUUCUCCCCGGUGCACUCGGCCUCGCUCAGGCCAGCAUCGGUUUUGGUGGUGGGAUAAAGGCCUUGGGAAUGUAGCUCCUUUCGGGGAGUGUUAUAGCCCUCGGUGCAAUGCCGCCUACCGGGACCGAGGACCGCGCUUCGGCUAGGAUGCUGGCGUAAUGGUUGUAAGCGAC
RNAcentral lists this ribosomal RNA (572 nucleotides) under uncultured fungus. Its description in RNAcentral is "eukaryotic LSU rRNA". It matches the Rfam family "Eukaryotic large subunit ribosomal RNA", at positions 62 to 648 of the family's 3401-position model. The record is from RNAcentral. Lineage: Eukaryota; Fungi.